Molecule: ribosomal RNA, 451 nt
Filed under: uncultured organism
Description: partial 16S ribosomal RNA
Rfam family: Bacterial small subunit ribosomal RNA
Source: RNAcentral
CGUACACUCCUACGGGAGGCAGCAGUGGGGAAUAUUGGACAAUGGGCGCAAGCCUGAUCCAGCCAUGCCGCGUGAGUGAUGAAGGCCCUAGGGUUGUAAAGCUCUUUCACCGGAGAAGAUAAUGACGGUAUCCGGAGAAGAAGCCCCGGCUAACUUCGUGCAAGCAGCCGCGGUAAUACGAAGGGGGCUAGCGUUGUUCGGAAUUACUGGGCGUAAAGCGCACGUAGGCGGAUCGAUCAGUCAGGGGUGAAAUCCCAGGGCUCAACCCUGGAACUGCCUUUGAUACUGUCGAUCUGGAGUAUGGAAGAGGUGAGUGGAAUUCCGAGUGUAGAGGUGAAAUUCGUAGAUAUUCGGAGGAACACCAGUGGCGAAGGCGGCUCACUGGACCAUUACUGACGCUGAGGUGCGAAAGCGUGGGGAGCAAACAGGAUUAGAAACCCGGGUAGUCCCA